RNAcentral lists this ribosomal RNA (573 nucleotides) under Neohelicascus unilocularis. RNAcentral's name for it is "eukaryotic LSU rRNA". The stretch from base 217 to 371 matches the Rfam family "5.8S ribosomal RNA". Lineage: Eukaryota; Fungi; Ascomycota; Dothideomycetes; Pleosporales; Morosphaeriaceae. The record is from RNAcentral.
UGAAUUGCUUCACUGGGCUUAUAAUCUAUCGGGGAUGUGCUACACUAUGCCGUCUUCAACAGUUCAACCUGUGAAGCAAUUUAUUUUGAGACGUUGUCUGCAUCCUGUGUUUAUGCUUACCUAUAUUGUUCCUCGGUGGGGUCACCCACCUAGUGGAACGCACUUAAACUCCUUUUGCAAUUGUAAUUAGCCUCUAAUACUAUCACAAUUAUUUACAACUUUCAACAAUGGAUCUCUUGGUUCUGGCAUCGAUGAAGAACGCAGCGAAAUGCGAUAAGUAGUGUGAAUUGCAGAAUUCAGUGAAUCAUCGAAUCUUUGAACGCACAUUGCGCCCCUUGGUUAUUCCAUUGGGCAUGCCUGUUCGAGCAUCAUAGAAAAAGGCAAGCUUUGCUUGGUGUUGAGUGUCUGUCCUAAAGAUGGACUCGCUCUAAAACUAUUGGCGGCUCCGACAAGGGUUCUUUGCGCAGCACAUGUAGCGCAGUAGGCCUGUAGUAGGUGGCAUCCAAUAAGCUAUUUCUGUUAGCUUGACCUCGGAUCAGGUAGGGAUACCCGCUGAACUUAAGCAUAUCAAAA